UAGGGAAUCUUCCACAAUGGGCGCAAGCCUGAUGGAGCAACGCCGCGUAAGUGAAGAAGGUCUUCGGAUCGUAAAACUCUGUUGUUAGAGAAGAACAUGCAGGAGAGUAACUGUUCUUGUAUUGACGGUAUCUAACCAGAAAGCCACGGCUAACUACGUGCCAG
This 164-nucleotide ribosomal RNA is filed under the name uncultured bacterium. Its description in RNAcentral is "partial 16S rRNA". It matches the Rfam family "Bacterial small subunit ribosomal RNA", at positions 355 to 511 of the family's 1533-position model. The record is from RNAcentral.